RNAcentral lists this ribosomal RNA (462 nucleotides) under uncultured bacterium. RNAcentral's name for it is "partial 16S ribosomal RNA". It matches the Rfam family "Bacterial small subunit ribosomal RNA", at positions 28 to 507 of the family's 1533-position model. The record is from RNAcentral.
GACGAACGCUGGCGGCGUGCUUAACACAUGCAAGUCGAGCGGAAAGGCCCUUCGGGGUACUCGAGCGGCGAACGGGUGAGUAACACGUGAGUAACCUGCCCCAGACUUUGGGAUAACCCUCGGAAACGGGGGCUAAUACCGGAUACGACACAGCUUCGUAUGGGGUCAGGGUGGAAAGUUGUUCGGUUUGGGAUGGGCUCGCGGUCUAUCAGCUUGUUGGUGGGGUGAUGGCAUACCAAGGAGACGACGGGUAGCCGACCUGAGAGGGGGACCGGCCACACUGGGACUGAGACAGGGACCAGACUCCUACGGGAGGCAGCAGUGGGGAAUAUUGCACAAUGGGCGGAAGCCUGAUGCAGCGACGCCGCGUGAGGGAUGACGGCCUUCGGGUUGUAAACCUCUUUCAGCGGGGACGUAGCGUAAUUGACGGUACCUGCAGAAGAAGCGCCGGCCAACUACGUG